CGCCGCCGCCGCCGCCUCCCUCCGUCUCUCCCUCCCUCCCGCUCCGCCGCGCCGCGGUCUGGCCGGCAGCCCCUCCUCUCAGGGCGUCUACAGAAACAUUUUGGUGAAAUACCUCAUCGGUCCUUCUUUCCUUGGGCUCGGCAUUUGCAUUAGAUUGCACCAAAAUGCUCCUUCGCAGGGAAGGAUUUUACAUCUUGGGGACAGAUAUGUGAUGCAUACAGCUUAUGCAGUGCUCCGUUUAAGCUCACAGACAAUGACAGACUGUAAGAAACCAUCGCUGGGAAGAGAGAAACUGAAACGGGGAUGGUUAUAGGCCUACUUCUGCCUUCAAAGAGGGAAAAAAACCCCAACAGACAAAACUCUCAAGGGUUAUAACUGGAACAGAAAAAGGUCUUUGGUGUUAGCAUUUGUGAUUCAGCCUUACAUGAUAAUGGUUACCAGCAGCCUCAUUUUCUUUUUAUGGUCAUCCUGGUUUCCCGGUUGCAUGACACUUCCAUUGGCCCACUGUUCUUAAUAAUUUAACCUUUUAUGAAAUUGUUUUGAUUUACAGUGUAGAUUAGAGUAAGAGUGAAAAAGUAUGAUAUCACCCCUUGGCUAUUAAAUUUCUUUGAACUAUACACAAAUGUGAGAAAGGUUUGUUUUCUUCCUCGCCAGCUACUAAUUUUCUAAUUUUAUUUUUACUUAACUGAAGAAUACCAUUCAGAUGUAAGUUCUCUGUGCUGAGCUAUGCAAAAUCUAUGCUGAAUUUUGGAUUCAGUGGUUGGCUUGUUUGCUUGCUGGAGUCCUAAGUCAUAUAAACUAUGAUGAAAAUAGAAUUAAAACCACAACUCAA
Long non-coding RNA from Vidua macroura (Pin-tailed whydah), 832 nucleotides. RefSeq lists it as uncharacterized. The record is from RefSeq and is a predicted model, not a curated record. The transcript has 2 exons. NCBI's taxonomy places the organism in Eukaryota, Metazoa, Chordata, Aves, Passeriformes, Viduidae.